This 253-nucleotide ribosomal RNA is filed under the name uncultured bacterium. RNAcentral describes it as "partial 16S ribosomal RNA". It matches the Rfam family "Bacterial small subunit ribosomal RNA", at positions 524 to 776 of the family's 1533-position model. The record is from RNAcentral.
UACGGGGGGAGCAAGCGUUGUUCGGAUUUACUGGGCGUAAAGGGCGCGUAGGCGGCGCAACAAGUCACUUGUGAAAUCUCCGGGCUUAACCCGGAGCGGCCAAGUGAUACUGUCGUGCUAGAGUGCGGAAGGGGCUACUGGAAUUCUCGGUGUAGCGGUGAAAUGCGUAGAUAUCAAGAGGAACACCUGAGGUGAAGACGGGUUGCUGGGCCAACACUGACGCUGAUGCGCGAAAGCCAGGGGAGCAAACGGG